CAUCAAUAUACCAACAAAUAUUAGAUCUAUAAUGACGUAGCGCACAAGAAGAAAACUGAAAUUGAAAGUUUGAUAUUGUUUGCUCUUUUGAAUUUCUCGCUAUGUCAUUCAUUUGAUGUUACAACGCAUUUGAAUAAUACUAAAAGUUGCCGUAUUAUUCAUCGCAUAUUGUAUCACAACUGUCAAUGAUGCAACCACAUGCAUAGAUUCAUCAGAUUCGAAGACCGCAUUUUCCAUUUUUAAUGGAGAUAAAGAUUACAGGAAAUCAUUUUUCACGGAAGGUUGGAAACAAGACUCACUGAAACGUUAUUUAGGUCAACUGGUAUAUCUUGGAGUCGACGAAAUUCGAAGCAGCUGUCAUUCAACACUUUUUAAAAGAUCAAAUCUUCCAUAAUUAAUGGCACGCACAUCACGCACUUGGGGUUUUAGAGCAAACGCCGUACAAUGCUGAAACAGUUCCCCAGAAAUGUUCACCAAUUCAAAAGAAAAAUUCAGAUAUCAAAAAGAGCAGGUUGUGAAUAUAGAUUUUAUGAAUAUGAAGAAACUGAUACCUAGAUUUCAACAGUUUAUGUAUGUGAACAGCCAAGAGAAGUCGUAAAUGAUGAACUUAUAACCACUUUCCCGCCUCAUGCUCAUGGACCAGUUAAAAUGUAAGGCCCAAAGCCAGGCCUCCAGCUGAUGGACCAGAGGAAAUAUAUUAUGUAUGAGUGUAUGAAAUGUGUGUAUUUUAAUUUUUUUUUAAGUUGGAAGAAAUUUUGUAUAUUUAGUCAAAUUGGUAUUAAAAGCUGUGUAUUUUA
Molecule: long non-coding RNA, 797 nt
Organism: Mytilus californianus (California mussel)
Lineage: Eukaryota; Metazoa; Mollusca; Bivalvia; Mytilida; Mytilidae
Exons: 2
Source: RefSeq, a predicted model, not a curated record